Molecule: ribosomal RNA, 625 nt
Filed under: Escherichia coli
Lineage: Bacteria; Pseudomonadati; Pseudomonadota; Gammaproteobacteria; Enterobacterales; Enterobacteriaceae
Description: bacterial SSU rRNA
Rfam family: Bacterial small subunit ribosomal RNA
Source: RNAcentral
AAAUUGAAGAGUUUGAUCAUGGCUCAGAUUGAACGCUGGCGGCAGGCCUAACACAUGCAAGUCGAACGGUAACAGGAAGAAGCUUGCUUCUUUGCUGACGAGUGGCGGACGGGUGAGUAAUGUCUGGGAAACUGCCUGAUGGAGGGGGAUAACUACUGGAAACGGUAGCUAAUACCGCAUAACGUCGCAAGACCAAAGAGGGGGACCUUCGGGCCUCUUGCCAUCGGAUGUGCCCAGAUGGGAUUAGCUAGUAGGUGGGGUAACGGCUCACCUAGGCGACGAUCCCUAGCUGGUCUGAGAGGAUGACCAGCCACACUGGAACUGAGACACGGUCCAGACUCCUACGGGAGGCAGCAGUGGGGAAUAUUGCACAAUGGGCGCAAGCCUGAUGCAGCCAUGCCGCGUGUAUGAAGAAGGCCUUCGGGUUGUAAAGUACUUUCAGCGGGGAGGAAGGGAGUAAAGUUAAUACCUUUGCUCAUUGACGUUACCCGCAGAAGAAGCACCGGCUAACUCCGUGCCAGCAGCCGCGGUAAUACGGAGGGUGCAAGCGUUAAUCGGAAUUACUGGGCGUAAAGCGCACGCAGGCGGUUUGUUAAGUCAGAUGUGAAAUCCCCGGGCUCAACCU